AAAGGAAGCCGCUAACGGCGGCCGGGUAUACGAAUCAGGGGUCGAGGCGUUGGAGCAAUUCGCGCUUUGGUUCCGGACUCAAAGCCUAGGGAAAGUACCACAGAGACAAUACUAGCCGGUGCUUCGCACCGGAAUGUCCAAAGUCCAAGAGACAAGCUCCAAGUUUGGAACUUGUACGUUGGAACUUGUACGUUCCGAUGCGUAGCAUCGGUGAAAGGUGAAAAGUGCGUCGAAGUCCGCAAGGGCUACGGCGUUCGUCUCCCGGUAACGGGAUGACGUGGCAAACCCUUCCUGGUGCAAGAACAAGUUUGGUAGUUCGCUAGAGCUCCGGAGCAAUCCGGAGACAAGAGAGAUUGCCAUCUCCUCCGCGCAAGCGGGGCAGACAAAAUUCGGCUUACAGACAUCUCCGAAGA
RNAcentral lists this RNase P RNA (413 nucleotides) under bacterium. Its description in RNAcentral is "partial RNase P RNA component class A". It matches the Rfam family "Bacterial RNase P class A", at positions 67 to 367 of the family's 367-position model. From Rfam's summary of the family: Ribonuclease P (RNase P) is a ubiquitous endoribonuclease, found in archaea, bacteria and eukarya as well as chloroplasts and mitochondria. Its best characterised activity is the generation of mature 5'-ends of tRNAs by cleaving the 5'-leader elements of precursor-tRNAs. The record is from RNAcentral.